RNAcentral lists this transfer RNA (164 nucleotides) under Candidatus Woesearchaeota archaeon. Its description in RNAcentral is "tRNA-Ser". Lineage: Archaea; Nanobdellati; Candidatus Woesearchaeota. The record is from RNAcentral.
GCCGGGAUGGCCCAACCUGGUAUAACGCGAAAUCGCGAAGCAAUUUCGCGGAUUUCCCUACAGGAAAAGGCGAAGGAUUGCUAAUCCUUUUUCCCGCAAGGGAUUUCUGAGUAGCCCAGAAACAGAAAUGGUUUUGGGCGCAGAAUCAAAUCUCAGUCCCGGCG